GUCCCGCCUGCCCNGUGACAACUAGUUCAACGGCCGCGGUAUUUUGACCGUGCAAAGGUAGCGUAAUCACUUGUCUUUUAAAUGAAGACCUGUAUGAAUGGCAUAACGAGGGCUUAGCUGUCUCCUCUAUCCAGUCAAUGAAAUUGAUCUCCCCGUGCAGAAGCGGGGGUAAAACCAUAAGACGAGAAGACCCUAUGGAGCUUUAGACACUAAAGCAGAUCACGUUAAACAACUCCCAAUAAAGAACAAAACUGAAUGAAUCCUGCUUAAAUGUCUUCGGUUGGGGCGACCAUGGGGAAAUAAAAAACCCCCACGUGGACUGGGAGCACCUUCCCCCUCUUCCCUCCUCCCAAAACUGAGAGCUACCGCUCUAAUUAACAGAAAUUCUGACCAAAAAUGAUCCGGCAACGCCGAUCAACGGACCAAGUUACCCUAGGGAUAACAGCGCAAUCCCCUUUUAGAGCCCAUAUCGACAAGGGGGUUUACGACCUCGAUGUUGGAUCAGGACAUCCUAAUGGUGCAGCCGCUAUUAAGGGUUCGUUUGUUCAACGAUUAAAGUCCUACGUGAUCUGAGUUCAGACC
This 582-nucleotide ribosomal RNA is filed under the name Tetrapturus georgii (roundscale spearfish). Its description in RNAcentral is "partial 16S ribosomal RNA". It matches the Rfam family "Bacterial large subunit ribosomal RNA", at positions 1852 to 2617 of the family's 2925-position model. Lineage: Eukaryota; Metazoa; Chordata; Actinopteri; Istiophoriformes; Istiophoridae. The record is from RNAcentral.